GACGAACGCUGGCGGCGUGCCUAAUGCAUGCAAGUAGAACGCUGAAGAGAGGAGCUUGCUCUUCUUGGAUGAGUUGCGAACGGGUGAGUAACGCGUAGGUAACCUGCCUUGUAGCGGGGGAUAACUAUUGGAAACGAUAGCUAAUACCGCAUAACAAUGGAUGACACAUGUCAUUUAUUUGAAAGGGGCAAUUGUUCCACUACAAGAUGGACCUGCGUUGUAUUAGCUAGUAGGUGAGGUAAUGGCUCACCUAGGCGACGAUACAUAGCCGACCUGAGAGGGUGAUCGGCCACACUGGAACUGAGACACGGCCCAGACUCCUACGGGAGGCAGCAGUAGGGAAUCUUCGGCAAUGGGCGAAAGCCUGACGGAGCAACGCCGCGUGAGUGAAGAAGGUUUUCGGAUCGUAAAACUCUGUUGUUAGUGAAGAACGAAUGUGAGAGUGGAAAGUCCCCACUGGACCGGAAGCAUACAAAAAAGGAACGGUUACUUCCGU
Molecule: ribosomal RNA, 496 nt
Filed under: uncultured bacterium
Lineage: Bacteria
Description: partial 16S ribosomal RNA
Rfam family: Bacterial small subunit ribosomal RNA
Source: RNAcentral